This 485-nucleotide ribosomal RNA is filed under the name uncultured bacterium. RNAcentral's name for it is "partial 16S ribosomal RNA". It matches the Rfam family "Bacterial small subunit ribosomal RNA", at positions 28 to 523 of the family's 1533-position model. The record is from RNAcentral.
GACGAACGCUGGCGGCGUGCUUAACACAUGCAAGUCGAACGGUGAAAGCGGAGCUUGCUCCGCUGGAUCAGUGGCGAACGGGUGAGUAACACGUGGGCAACCCGCCCCUCACUUCGGGAUAACUCCGGGAAACCGGGGCUAAUACCGGAUAUGACCUCCUUGGGCAUCCUUGGGGGUGGAAAGUUUUUCGGUGAGGGAUGGGCCCGCGGCCUAUCAGCUUGUUGGUGAGGUAGUGGCUCACCAAGGCGACGACGGGUAGCCGGCCUGGGAGGGCGACCGGCCACACUGGGACUGAGACACGGCCCAGACUCCUACGGGAGGCAGCAGUGGGGAAUAUUGCGCAAUGGGCGAAAGCCUGACGCAGCAACGCCGCGUGCGGGAUGACGGCCUUCGGGUUGUAAACCGCUUUCAGCAGGGCAGAAGCCGCAAGGUGACGGUACCUGCAGAAGAAGCACCGGCUAACUACGUGCCAGCCGCCGCCGUAA